CAGACACCGAUGCGCACGGGUGCGCGCCGGAAGAACGCUGCAGCAGCAGCAACAGCAGCAGCACACGGGACUGAAAUGGCGUAGCGUGAAGUCCACUGCCGCAGCAGCGCAGUGGGGCCAGGCUCACCGAACAUUUCAGAGCCUGGCCCGUCGUACUUCAACCAAUGAGUAUGAUGGAGAUGACUUUUCGCUCCAGUUCACUCGCUUCCAAACCAGCACGAGAUCACCGGAGACAUGCCCCUCAUAUGUCUUGACAAGAAGAGAAAGGAACAGCCUGAAAGGAAGACAUGACCAGAUGAGACCGUCUUGUCUUCGUUCUUCAAACUGCCCUCCAUCCCGAUAAGUUGACUUUCCUCCAGCGUUAUUUCAGGGAAGUGUUUGUUCAGCAUACCAACUCUCCCUGGUCUAUGAACAUAUCAUCUCUGCACUUUGAAGAUGACAAGUGAAGUUGUUUUUAUUCAUGAAAGAACCAUAAACUCUUCAUGUGUCCAAAAAAACUUAAAUAACAACAUGAUUGUGCCACAGUACAGAACCAUUGUCUGGUCAUAUUUGUUAUAAAUAAAUCCAGUGGACUAUUUAUAUAGUUGCAGGUUGAGUUAAAAGAAAUUGAAAAUAGAAAUAUCAAAAGCGCACUUGCUUUGCAGGUAAAACAAAUGCACAUUUAAAAACUAAAGCAUGCAAGCAAGAUGAAGUAGCUUCAUCCAACAAUUUUAUUAUCUGCAGACUAAGUGCCUAGAUGCGUCUCUUUUUAACAGCUCCUGUCUCUCAAUUGACUAUUUCCAUAACUUAGUUUAGCUUUAAACCUACAAGCUUGGUCAUUUAUUUAGUCUUUGAAAAUGCCUGAAAAUGAGACGACAAACUGUAGACAGAAAGCUCUCGUCAUUUUUUUUGUUCUCUCAAUUCAGAACUCAUAUUGGUGCUUUAGCAAAACCAUGAACCAUUCUUUCAUGUUUUCUGUCUACUUGUACUGACAUACCAAGAUAGACAGUGGCACACUGACCCAAGCAUAAGCGUUAUAAAUUCCACAGUUAAACCUUCUAGUGGGGGUGAGUUGCUAAUGAGAUGCAGGACAUAAUGAAAUAUAAUUAUUUUACUACCUCAGAAGUUACCACAGCUCAGACCCACACAGCAAGCGCUCUAAUCAAACAAUAUUCACAUUUUUUUCUCGCGGUUAUAUAAAUAUAGUCAUUGUCUGUUAAAUGGUUUGGUAAUCCGAUAGAAGAGGAGUGAUGAUGAUUCUUUUCAUGUACGUUACCUUAUUAAUAGGUGUAGGAAUAUCACACAAACCGUAUAGAGACCAUAUAGUUCACUGGUUGUAUAUUUGUCCUAUAAUUUCUCCAGGAGAACAUGCAGGGCGAGAUAAACUAGUCACUUUCAUCCAGUAACAUUCUCAUGGUUAUCCUUCUCAUUAGGCCUGAAGAAAGGCAGUAGAAUGGUUACAUGUUAGGCCCUGGCCACAACGUUUGAAAAUAGUUGCUAGUAUGUUUUUAAUGUAAUAUCUCAAAUACAUUAAGGCAAGUUGGUCUCUGGGUAUCUGACACAGCCUGUGCUCCAUCCUCAGCUACAGUGCACUGUGAAAAUAGGAAUUUAACUUCAUCUGUAAUGAGAAAAUGUACCCAAUUUUUGUUUUGUUUGUACAGUAGUUUCUAUCAUAAUGAUUGGUAGAAAUAAAGGUGUUAAGUACGCAGUAAGUAUUUUCAUGGAGGAAGAGUAGUGAGGCCUCAGUGUGGGAAAUGUGCAAUAUUCGUUUCUUUCCUUUGUCUUGUUUUGAGAUGAAUAUGUAUAUUGUACAAACAAGUGACAAGUUGUUCGCAAAAACAACAAAAUCACCAAUGUCUUCCAUUAAAUGAUGUAUAGUUUCAUCCGCUUGCUUUAAGGUGGCGGGAUUUGUAGUGCCAGCAUAAAAGUGGCCAUGCAUGUACGGUAGCGAUGCUUGCUGAGUUUAAUAGUCGUAGUGACAUUCAGUAUAUGCUAUAAUAAGUCGUUUAGAAAAUAAAUUAGGCUGACAAAGAUUUAGUUAGUAACCACCAUGGAUGCAGCAUCCACAACUUGAUCGAUUUGAUUAAGAGGCGGCUAGGUGAGUCAUUUUCACUUGUGCAGAGUUUGUUUUAGUUUUUUAAUUAACAAACACGGUUGUUUAUUCAUGGGUAAUCACUAUUAGUUAAUAAUAAUGUGUUGUAGCAUGCUGAGGAUUAGAACAAUGGCGGUUGGUAUUGACGUGCGGCUAGCCAUGUUGAAAUACAUGUAUAUGUUUCAUAAGCACUGUGUGAGUUUGUCCUAGUUUGUACUGUGAAAAAUUAAGUUCUGGGCCCAAAAUAGUCGACUUAGAUCAAAACGAGUCUCUAAACAAAUUAGUCGAUAUUACAGGUAUUGAAGAGUUUCAUUCGAUACCUGUUUCAAGAUAAUUCCUUAUUAUGGAAACAAAGACUUUUGCUAAAACGGAACAUCCUGAAAGUUUUAUUUGGUCUGUAAUAAUAGGAGAAUACAGUACUCUCUUCUGAUUAGAAAGGGUAACCUAGAACUGUGUUUGUAUUCAUACCUCUAAUAUUGCAUUCUCCAUCAGGUAUUAUUGUCUCAGACUAGAGCUGUGGGUAGAUUAUUCCUAGUAGCAGAAACUCUCGAUUUUAAAGUAACAUGUAGAAUAUUAAGUGGCAUAAAGCAAUUAUCAAAGCAUUGUAAUGUAGAUAAAUACCUCAAUGACUGGAAUGCAAACUAUAUUUUUAAAUAUACUCGAAGAUAUGCAAGCCAUGAUGUGUAUUACGUUCAUGAUUUAGAAGCAAUAAUCAGUUUAUGCAUGAAUUAUAGUGUCAGAACAGUUCAGUGGUGUUUGUGAAAUAGAAAUCUGUAGCAUAUUUGUGAGUGUAGUAAGUGUUUUUUUUCCAGAACAGUCCAUUGCUCAUACGGAACUAUUUACAUUUCGUAGUACAAAACAGCCCCAUUGUUCACUUACACCAAAUAAAUAUAUAUGAAGGUAGCACUGAGGGUGUGACAAAUAUUAAUAUAAAGGAUUUUUUUAGGACAGGCGGCGAAAGUAGAUAGGAAAUAUAUAUAUAUAUAUAUAUAAAUAUAUAUAUAUAUAUAUAUAUAUAUAUAUAUAUAUAUAUAUAUAUAUAUAUAUAUAUAUGCAGGGCCUAUGCCCUUUUAUUGACUUUGCAUGUUUACAUACAAACCAUUGUGGAACGCACAUAAGCUGUAUGCUUAUUUACAGCUUAUUUUCAUUGACAGCAAUAUGAGCAGUGUUCUGGGUAGCAGUUUGUAAAACUCUGAUGAUUCAUUAUAUCAAUAAAUCCUGGGUAAAUAGAAUAUACCACAAACCGGAGAGGAUCCAUUUGGGAAUUAACAUGUAUUUUUAAUAAGAGUGCAAAAAAUAACAUUUGCUGAUGCAUGGUAGAAGUGGAUAAGAAAUGUUUUGUGCUGCAUGCAAUAAUUGAGCUUUGCUUGAACAUAUUUAUGCAGAAAUGUGAUAAAACAAAAUCUAUGAGUGGACCAAUGUUGUGAUUUUCUUUUUCAAAUGCAUGAAAUCCCAAAGGUUUAUCUCUACUGUAAAUUAUUCAGUUGUAUUCAUUAAGAAAUGUUACUUUUUGGAUUUGAAUAUUGUAUGAUGAAAAUCAAAUUGUUAUGAGUCUGUGAUUCGAGGCAAAGUCGGAUACAGUAAGUUUUAGCAAAGCCUUAACAAUUGUGAGUUUAAAUGGAAAAACAUAAAAAUAAAAUUUGACGACUUAUUCUUGUUCAAUGCAAAUAACGCAGUUUAAAUAAUAUAAGUUUCUAUGCUUUGCUGACCUGAUGUGUGUUGCUGAUUUUGCCUCUGAAUGUGAAACUCUAUGCUUAGUCUGAUCUAUGCACUACAGAUGCACCCCGCAUGAUUUUGUACAAAAAUAUGAAAUUUUAGCAAUAAAAAAGCAGCAUGGUGCCAAUCAUAAAA
Ctenopharyngodon idella (grass carp) is the source of this 3922-nucleotide long non-coding RNA. RefSeq lists it as uncharacterized. The transcript has 3 exons. NCBI's taxonomy places the organism in Eukaryota, Metazoa, Chordata, Actinopteri, Cypriniformes, Xenocyprididae. The record is from RefSeq and is a predicted model, not a curated record.